UGGGGAAUAUUGGACAAUGGGCGCAAGCCUGAUCCAGCCAUGCCGCGUGUGUGAAGAAGGCUCUAGGGUUGUAAAGCACUUUAAGUUGUGAGGAAGGAGAUGUUGUGAAUAAUGAUAUCUUUUGACGUUAGCAACAGAAUAAGCACCGGCUAACUCCGUGCCAGCAGCCGCGGUAAUACGGGGGGUGCAAGCGUUAAUCGGAUUUACUGGGCGUAAAGAGUUCGUAGGCGGCUGUUUAAGUUGGAUGUGAAAGCCCCGGGCUUAACCUGGGAACUGCAUACAAAACUGGGCAGCUAGAGUAAGGGAGAGGAGAGUGGAAUUUCCGGUGUAGCGGUGAAAUGCAUAGAUAUCGGAAGGAACACCAGUGGCGAAGGCGACUCUCUGGCCUAUUACUGACGCUGAGGAACGAAAGCGUGGGGAGCAAACAGG
This 429-nucleotide ribosomal RNA is filed under the name uncultured bacterium. Its description in RNAcentral is "bacterial SSU rRNA". It matches the Rfam family "Bacterial small subunit ribosomal RNA", at positions 355 to 776 of the family's 1533-position model. The record is from RNAcentral.